Molecule: microRNA precursor, 190 nt
Filed under: Oryza sativa Indica Group (long-grained rice)
Lineage: Eukaryota; Viridiplantae; Streptophyta; Magnoliopsida; Poales; Poaceae
Description: MIR812 microRNA precursor family
Rfam family: MIR812 microRNA precursor family
Source: Rfam by way of RNAcentral
GAAUACUCAAUUCUUAAAUUUCUGUGUCCAAAGUUUGAUCGUCUAUUUUAUAUGUAUUUUUUUAUAAUUAGUAUUUUUAUUAUUGUUAGAAGAUAAAAUAUGAAUAAUACUUUAUACAUGACUUACCUUUUUAAAAAUUUUUAUAAAUUUUUUAAAUAAGAUGGACGGUCAAACGUUAGAUAAAAAACCC